Molecule: ribosomal RNA, 524 nt
Filed under: Lachancea kluyveri
Lineage: Eukaryota; Fungi; Ascomycota; Saccharomycetes; Saccharomycetales; Saccharomycetaceae
Description: LSU rRNA
Rfam family: Eukaryotic large subunit ribosomal RNA
Source: RNAcentral
UUGCCUUAGUAACGGCGAGUGAAGCGGCAAAAGCUCAAAUUUGAAAUCUGGCACCUUUGGUGUCCGAGUUGUAAUUUGAAGAAGUAACUUUGGGGCUGAUCCUUGUCUAUGUUCCUUGGAACAGGACGUCAUAGAGGGUGAGAAUCCCGUGUGGCGAGGAAUUCAGUCCUAUGUAAAGUGCUUUCGACGAGUCGAGUUGUUUGGGAAUGCAGCUCUAAGUGGGUGGUAAAUUCCAUCUAAAGCUAAAUAUUGGCGAGAGACCGAUAGCGAACAAGUACAGUGAUGGAAAGAUGAAAAGAACUUUGAAAAGAGAGUGAAAAAGUACGUGAAAUUGUUGAAAGGGAAGGGCAUUUGAUCAGACAUGGUGUUUUGCGACCCUAGCUCCUUGUGGGUUGGGAUCUCGCAGCUCACUGGGCCAACAUCAGUUUUGGCGGUGGGAUAAAUCCUUAGGAAUGUGGCUUGUCUUCGGAGAAGUGUUAUAGCCUAGGGGAAUACCGCCAGCCGGGACUGAGGACUGCGACUUU